Molecule: long non-coding RNA, 1152 nt
Filed under: Cricetulus griseus (Chinese hamster)
Lineage: Eukaryota; Metazoa; Chordata; Mammalia; Rodentia; Cricetidae
Description: lncRNA (ENSCGRG00000025861.1)
Source: RNAcentral
UAUCUCUUCUUUUUCCAUCAAAACCACCCGUUCCCCUGUUUACUCUUUCAUCAUUUGUUGGCGGCAGCACAGGCCCAGUGGUGACCCUGGGAGUGCAGCCAAGUAGAGCAGGCUUUGCCAUCAGAGCCAAAGAGUUUGUGAUAUAAACAGUUAUGAUCUCACUUCCUGGUCCCUGGCUUUGCCUUUUCCGCUGAGCUGAUGCUUGGAAUGUACCCGGUGCCUGCAAUGUGACUCUUUUUCUUUUUCCCAAGACAGAGUUUCUCUGUCCUGGAGCCCUCUCUGGAGACCAGGCUGGCCUCCAACUCAGAGAUCCUCCUGCCUCUGCCUCUCGAGUUCUGGGACCGCCAUCUGACUGUGACUCUCUCUGUUCUUGGCAGUCAGAAAGUACUUCAGCGUUGCAGCUCACAGAGGAAAUGAGCUAUGCAGAGGGAACUGGGAAGACCAUCGGGAGGAGACCACUGAAGGGGACCCUAGCCUGACAUUUCAGAAAGUAGAUAUCUGUCCCUCCUGACUGGAAUGCCCUCUCAUGCCAUGGAGCACUCUCUUCAGUCCUUGCCCAGGAAGGCUGCUGCGGCUCAAGCCAUCACAUCCACACCCCAGCUGCAGAAGGAGUUAGAGAAGCUGCUCCUGAGGGGCAUGCCUGUGAGACUGUACACACCGCAUCCUCCCACUUACACUUCUUUGGCCAGAAGACAGCUGGACUUUGCGAGGAAGACUAGUCUUUAUUUUGGGAGUCCACAUGUUUGGUUCACAGGACAUAACAUGGUAUUGGAGUCACCACGGAAACCAAGGGUCAUCACUCUGUUCUCAGCUCACAAGGCUUCUUCUUUUUCUGUCUCUCCAUACUAGUUUUUAAACCAAGGUUUAACUAGAAUUUGAUCUCCUUGAAGAGAAGCCCUGUGGGAAAUUACCCAGCUCUACUCUAGGAACCAAAGGGCAAGAGGCCCAAGCUAACUUAUUUCAGCUUCUGUUAAACUGCUUGCUUGUGCAAACUUCCACAUCCAGCUACAGAGUGUGAUGCCAGGAUGUGGUUUCUGUCUUUAAAAUCUCCCUUGUCUAAAUGCUCAGCGCUACACUUGGGUUUCCAAAUACCUGAGUGUAGCCCCAGCUGGCUGGAAUAAAUACUUUCAACCGGCUAUAAAUUGUGUCUGA